AGACGUCUUCUGAGACACGUGUUGUGUUUUAGUUGUUCUUCUCCUUCUCUUCUUCGCCUUCAAUUUCUCCUUCUCUUCUUCGCCUCAUCUUUUCCUUAUCUUUUUUCUGCUGCUUCGCUAUUCAUCUCUAUUUCGUGGAUCGAAAAACUAAAGCGAAUGGACAAAGGCAAAGCAGUGAUGGGUACUGGCCGGAGAUGGGCCGUCGAUUUCUCCGAUCAAUCCACCAUUCUAUCUUCCCGCGACAUUCUCGAUCCCCCUGACUUCAUAUGUGUAUAUCCUCCGCCUCUUCGAGACUGUCUCUGAUGUCUGCGUCGUUGAGGUUAACGAGACCGGGACACGAUUGAAGUACAAGCCUGGAAUUAUAAUGGGAGGGAAGAACUUGGUUCACAAUUGUGUCCUGUAAAUCCAUCAAACGCUAGAGUUGGCGGAACGGUUCGUGUUCAAGGCUCUGAGUUUUGGCAUAUGCCUAAAGUUCUAAGAUUGAAAGCUGAAGACAGUGAUCAGGUUACAGAGCAAGGGAGAAUUGAGGUUUGAGAAGCACAACAGAACAAGAAGGAACCUAGUCAUCCUCUGUAACUGCAGCCAUGGCGCUUAACCCUAAGUUGAUGCCGAACGGGAUGUCUGUUCCCUUUGCUAAUGAAAUGUUUGUUCUUGUCCGAGAUGGGGUUGAGUUUGGGUUGGAGUGAAUCCAUCCCGUUUUUCCUCUGUUUCCGGCCAUGCAUCGGCUCUGUCGGUGGUGGUUCGGCGUCUGUGUCUGGGGCUGUACCGGUUCUUCCUUGGUAGUGGUCACCAGCUUUCGAAUCUCAUGGAAGUGUGUGAGCUGUGUUCAAGUUGUGCUUUGUGGAGGAAGGUGGCCGAAUUCGGGUGUGAGAUUGGCGGAGGCGCUGAAAGCUCCCUGAAGGUCGGGCCGUUGUGUGUAGACUCCGAUUCCUUUCCCUCUGAUAUUGUCGUCGGAGGUGGAAUUCGGUGGUCGUGAUGAGUGUCCCGGUGGUUCCGGUGAUUGAGUUCGUUCUUAUACAGCGGUGACUUCUGCAUGAGAAAGGAAGUGGUGAUUCACGACUCCGGCGAGGUUCCGGGUUUCGGCUCCGGCGGCGGCCUCCGGCUCUGCGAGAUGACGAAGCUCCCACCUUUGACAUGCAUCCCUGUGGUUGGUGUAGAGUCAACACGUGGGUCGUGGGUUGGCGGUGAUUUUCUUUGGGCCUCGUUUCUUUAUCUCUUUGGGUUUGGUGGUGGGCUUGCGCGGGCUUGUGUAAUAGUAUUAGUUUUUGUACUUUCUGUUUGGACCGUGUUUCGGGCUCUGUACUGUUUCUUCCUGUUAAUAAUAAUUACUUCAGAUGGCAAAAAAAAGUGGAUA
Molecule: long non-coding RNA, 1354 nt
Organism: Raphanus sativus (radish)
Lineage: Eukaryota; Viridiplantae; Streptophyta; Magnoliopsida; Brassicales; Brassicaceae
Exons: 5
Source: RefSeq, a predicted model, not a curated record